CUUAAGGUGCGGAGCCGUAGCGAAAGCGAGUUUUAACUGAGCGUUCAGUUACUUGACGUAGACCCGAAACCGGGCGACCUACCCAUGAGCAGGAUGAAGCGAAAGUAAAAUUUCGUGGAGGUCCGAACCCACGAGCGUUGAAAAGCUCGGGGAUGACUUGUGGGUAGCGGUGAAAUUCCAAUCGAGCCCGGAGAUAGCUGGUUCUCCCCGAAAUAGCUUUAGGGCUAGCCUCAAGGUGAGAGAUACGGAGGUAGAGCACUGAAUGUCCUAGGGGGUAUUGCACCUACCGAAGACUAUCAAACUCCGAAUGCCGUCAUCUUAUACUUGGGAGUCAGACUGUGGGUGAUAAGAUUCAUAGUCGAAAGGGCAACAGCCCAGAUCGUCAGCUAAGGUCCCUAAAUGUAAGUUAAGUGGUAAAGGAUGUGGGAUUGCACAGACAACCAGGAUGUUGGCUUAGAAGCAGCCACUCAUUCAAAGAGUGCGUAAUAGCUCACUGGUCGAGUGAUCCUGCGCCGAAGAUUUCCGGGGCUAAAACUUACUACCGAAGCUACGGCAUCAGUAAUGAUGGGUAGGGGAGCUUCCCAUACGGGUUGAAGCAUGACCGUAAGGACAUGUGGACAGUAUGGGAGUGAGAAUGUUGGCAUGAGUAGCGAGAUGUGGGUGAGAAUCCCACAGGCCGUAAACCCAAGGUUUCCAGGGG
RNAcentral lists this ribosomal RNA (700 nucleotides) under Clostridioides difficile. RNAcentral's name for it is "partial 23S ribosomal RNA". It matches the Rfam family "Bacterial large subunit ribosomal RNA", at positions 653 to 1360 of the family's 2925-position model. Lineage: Bacteria; Bacillati; Bacillota; Clostridia; Peptostreptococcales; Peptostreptococcaceae. The record is from RNAcentral.